RNAcentral lists this unclassified non-coding RNA (22 nucleotides) under Mus musculus (house mouse). RNAcentral describes it as "oocyte_clustered_small_RNA5931". Lineage: Eukaryota; Metazoa; Chordata; Mammalia; Rodentia; Muridae. The record is from RNAcentral.
UCAGACCUCUAUCUUCUGCACU